UACGUAGGGUGCAAGCGUUGUCCGGAAUUAUUGGGCGUAAAGAGCUCGUAGGCGGUUUGUCGCGUCUGCUGUGAAAACUCGGGGCUCAACCCCGAGCUUGCAGUGGGUACGGGCAGACUAGAGUGCGGUAGGGGAGACUGGAAUUCCUGGUGUAGCGGUGGAAUGCGCAGAUAUCAGGAGGAACACCGGUGGCGAAGGCGGGUCUCUGGGCCGUAACUGACGCUGAGGUGCGAAAGCGUGGGGAGCAAACAGG
RNAcentral lists this ribosomal RNA (253 nucleotides) under uncultured bacterium. RNAcentral describes it as "partial 16S ribosomal RNA". It matches the Rfam family "Bacterial small subunit ribosomal RNA", at positions 524 to 776 of the family's 1533-position model. The record is from RNAcentral.